UACGUAGGGGGCAAGCGUUGUCCGGAAUCAUUGGGCGUAAAGAGCGUGUAGGCGGUCCGAUAAGUCCGCUCUGAAAGCCCGGGGUUCAACCCCGGGAGGCGGGCGGAUACUGUCGGGCUAGAGUCCGGAAGAGGCAAGUGGAAUUCCUGGUGUAGCGGUGAAAUGCGCAGAUAUCAGGAGGAACACCGAUGGCGAAGGCAGCUUGCUGGGACGGUACUGACGCUGAGGAGCGAAAGCGUGGGGAGCGAACAGG
Molecule: ribosomal RNA, 253 nt
Filed under: uncultured bacterium
Lineage: Bacteria
Description: partial 16S ribosomal RNA
Rfam family: Bacterial small subunit ribosomal RNA
Source: RNAcentral